CGGGACUGUGCCGCUGCAGCUGGGCCACCGCAGGGCUGCUCCAAGUGAGAGCCGUGAGGGUGGCCAAGUCCAGUUUGGACCUCUGACCCUUGGGCAGCACCUCCCGACAGCCGGCUCGGGACCCAACUCUGCGAGCCAGGUGAAAAUGAGUUCUUCAGUAAGAAGAAAAGGCAAGCCAGGCAAAGGAGGUGGAAAAGGGUCUUCUAGAGGAGGAAGAGGAGGCAGGAGUCACGCCAGUAAAUCUCAUGGGAGUGGUGGUGGUGGCGGUGGCGGUGGUGGUGGUGGAGGUGGCGGCAACAGAAAGGCCUCCAGUAGAAUAUGGGAUGAUGGAGAUGACUUUUGUAUCUUCAGUGAAUCAAGGCGCCCUUCCAGACCUAGCAACAGUAACAUAAGCAAAGGAGAGUCACGCCCAAAAUGGAAACCCAAAGCCAAAGUACCCCUUCAGACUCUACAUAUGACUUCUGAGAAUCAAGAGAAAGUGAAAGCUCUUCUCCGAGACCUGCAAGAACAAGAUGCUGAUGCCGGAUCUGAAAGAGGCAUUUCUGGGGAGGAGGAAGAUGAUGAGCCUGAUUGCUGUAAUGAUGAGCGGUACUGGCCAGCUGGACAGGAACCUUCCCUCGUUCCCGACUUGGAUCCUUUGGAAUAUGCUGGCUUAGCCUCAGUGGAGCCUUAUGUUCCAGAAUUUACAGUCUCCCCAUUUGCAGUGCAAAAACUUUCCAGGUAUGGUUUCAAUACUGAACGCUGUCAAGCGGUCCUGAGGAUGUGUGAUGGAGAUGUGGGAGCAUCACUAGAGCAUCUCCUUACCCAGUGUUUUUCAGAGACAUUUGGAGAGAGGAUGAAGAUCUCUGAGGCAGUCAACCAGAUAAGCUUGGAUGAGUGUAUGGAACAGCGACAGGAAGAGGCAUUUGCUCUCAAGUCCAUCUGUGGAGAAAAAUUUAUAGAAAGAAUUCAGAACAGAGUCUGGACCAUUGGGUUAGAACUGGAGUAUCUGACAAGUAGAUUCCGCAAAUCCAAGCCAAAAGAAAGUACCAAAAAUGUACAAGAGAAUUCACUUGAAAUCUGUAAAUUUUACCUCAAAGGAAAUUGUAAAUUUGGAUCAAAAUGCAGAUUCAAACAUGAAGUGCCCCCAAAUCAAAUUGUUGGAAGAAUAGAAAGAAGUGUAGAUGAUUCUCAUCUUAAUGCUAUUGAAGAUGCAUCUUUUUUAUAUGAACUUGAAAUUCGAUUUUCUAAAGACCACAAAUAUCCCUACCAAGCUCCCCUCGUGGCAUUUUAUUCCACCAAUGAGAACCUACCUCUGGCUUGUCGUUUACAUAUUUCUGAGUUUCUUUAUGACAAGGCCUUGACAUUUGCAGAAACUUCGGAACCUGUCGUAUAUUCUUUGAUAACCCUUUUAGAGGAAGAGUCGGAAAUAGUCAAGUUACUAACGAAUACCCACCACAAGUAUAGUGACCCUCCUGUGAACUUUCUGCCAGUACCCUCUAGGACCAGAAUAAAUAAUCCUGCCUGUCAUAAACCACUGAUUCCAAAUAAUUCUUUUGUUUCUAAUCAAAUUCCAGAAGUUGAAAAGGCAUCAGAAUCUGAGGAGUCAGAUGAGGAUGACGGUCCUGCACCUGUUAUAGUAGAGAAUGAAAGCUAUGUGAACCUUAAGAAAAAGAUUUCCAAAAGAUAUGACUGGCAGGCAAAGUCAGUACAUGCUGAAAAUGGUAAAAUCUGCAAGCAGUUCCGAAUGAAACAGGCUUCCAGACAGUUCCAGUCCAUUCUGCAAGAGAGGCAAUCACUCCCUGCUUGGGAAGAAAGAGAAACCAUUCUUAACUUAUUGCGUAAGCACCAGGUGGUUGUCAUAAGUGGUAUGACUGGAUGUGGGAAAACCACACAAAUUCCACAGUUUAUUCUGGAUGAUUCUCUGAAUGGACCACCUGAGAAGGUAGCCAACAUCAUCUGUACCCAACCCCGACGAAUCUCUGCAAUCUCUGUUGCUGAACGCGUUGCUAAAGAAAGAGCAGAGAGGGUGGGUCUGACCGUGGGAUACCAGAUUCGGUUAGAAAGUGUCAAGGUUUGUAUGCUCUGCUUAUUUCCUGGUAACAGAAAUUUAUGGUUUUUAGGUAUAAAAAGUUUUGGGGGUUAGGAGAUUCAUGGGCAAUUUGGGAUAUAUACUUUCAGGUUAUUUUUAAAUUAAUGAUUACCUUCAGUAAUCAUUUAUUUAAAUAUUUAGAAAUAUUUAGAAAUAUUUUGGUAUAAGAAGUCAAAUGGCCAGGCGCGGUGGCUCACACCUGUAAUCCCAGCACUUUGGGAGGCCAAGGCAGGUGGAUCACCCGAGGUCGGGAGUUCGAGACCAGCCUGACCAACAUGGAGAAACCCCAUCUCUACUAAAAAUACAAAAAUUAGCCGAGUGUGGUGGCACACGCCUGUAAUCCCAGCUACUUGGGAGUCUGAGGCAGGAGAAUCCCUUGAACCUGGGAGACGGAAGUUGCAAUGAGCCGAGAUUGCGCCAUUGCACUCCAGCCUGGGCAAAAAGAGCAAAAUUCCGUCUCAAAAAAAAAAACAAAAAAACUCUUAUUUGGUUGUACUAAAUUUCCUCUGUAAAGCUUUUUAUUUUUUAUUGGCGGAAGUCAUCUAGUAAAGACUAUUUUGCUCUUGAACUUGGGACAUAAUCCAUUUAACCAAAUAAGGAGCAGACAGAUUGAGAACUGUUUUCAUUAUUCACUGUUUUUUAAUGCUUUUUAUGAAAAUCUUAGCAUUGUGAUAUGAAGUAGAAAGGCUUUUAUUACUGUCCCUGGCAAGAAACUAUGUUUAGUAUGGUUUCCUAUUAAAUGGAACUGCUGGUGUUGUCAAUAUUUUUUAUCACUAUCCAUUCAAAAUGGCUUUCCAGUAAUGUUUCCUUUUUUUGAAAAUUUUAUUAAUGAUUUAUAUUGCCCUUUCAUGUGUAAGUCCUCAGCCACCAGACUGUUAUACUGCACCACGGGAGUGCUGCUGAGAAGGCUAGAAGGAGAUACAGCUCUACAAGGAGUUUCCCAUAUCAUUGUUGAUGAAGUUCAUGAGAGGACAGAAGAAAGUGACUUCUUGCUGCUAGUUUUGAAGGACAUUGUAUCGCAGAGGCCAGGUCUUCAAGUUAUUUUAAUGAGUGCAACUCUAAACGCUGAGCUUUUUUCAGACUAUUUUAAUUCCUGCCCCGUUAUUACUAUACCAGGUCGUACAUUUCCUGUUGAUCAAUUUUUUUUGGAAGAUGCAAUUGCUGUGACAAGGUAUGUAUUACAGGAUGGGAGCCCAUAUAUGCGGUCCAUGAAACAGAUUUCAAAGGAAAAGCUUAAAGCAAGGCGAAACAGAACUGCAUUUGAAGAAGUGGAAGAAGACCUGAGGCUCUCCCUUCACCUCCAGGAUCAGGAUUCUGUCAAAGAUGCAGUGCCAGAUCAACAGUUAGAUUUUAAGCAGCUCCUGGCCCGCUAUAAAGGGGUUAGCAAGUCAGUCAUCAAAACAAUGUCCAUCAUGGAUUUUGAAAAGGUGAAUCUUGAAUUAAUAGAGGCCUUAUUAGAGUGGAUUGUGGAUGGAAAGCACUCCUACCCUCCAGGUGCUAUACUUGUAUUUUUACCAGGACUAGCAGAAAUCAAAAUGCUUUACGAACAGCUGCAGUCUAAUUCUCUUUUCAACAACAGACGUAGUAAUCGAUGUGUUAUUCACCCACUUCAUUCAUCUUUAUCCAGUGAAGAGCAGCAGGCUGUGUUUGUAAAACCUCCUGCAGGAGUAACUAAGAUUAUAAUUUCCACCAACAUUGCUGAGACAUCCAUAACCAUCGAUGAUGUUGUCUAUGUUAUCGAUUCUGGGAAAAUGAAAGAAAAGAGAUAUGAUGCCAGCAAAGGGAUGGAAAGUCUAGAGGACACCUUUGUAUCUCAAGCUAAUGCUCUACAAAGGAAAGGCCGAGCAGGCCGUGUUGCAUCUGGGGUCUGCUUCCAUUUAUUCACUAGCCAUCACUACAAUCACCAGCUUUUAAAACAACAGCUACCAGAAAUACAAAGAGUGCCAUUGGAACAGCUGUGUCUAAGAAUUAAAAUUUUAGAGAUGUUUAGUGCUCAUAAUCUCCAGUCUGUGUUCUCUCGGCUCAUUGAACCUCCACACACCGAUUCUCUUCGUGCCUCAAAAAUACGAUUACGAGACUUAGGAGCAUUAACUCCAGAUGAAAGAUUGACCCCUCUUGGGUAUCAUUUGGCCUCUCUGCCCGUGGAUGUGAGAAUUGGCAAACUAAUGUUGUUUGGGUCUAUCUUCCGCUGUUUGGAUCCUGCUCUCACCAUUGCUGCCAGUUUGGCUUUUAAGUCUCCGUUUGUAUCUCCCUGGGAUAAAAAAGAAGAAGCUAACCAGAAAAAGCUGGAAUUUGCAUUCGCAAACAGUGAUUAUCUGGCCCUUCUACGAGCGUAUAAGGGAUGGCAGCUAAGUACAAAAGAAGGCGUGCGUGCAAGUUAUAAUUACUGCAGACAAAACUUCUUGUCUGGAAGAGUUCUGCAGGUGAGAAAUGGCCAGCCUCAAACGACAAUUCACGGAACUGUUAUCGGAUAUAGGGUUUGCAAGGGAAGGGCUCAGAGCAAGGGAAAUUGAGAAAAGGGCCCAAGGAGGAGAUGGUGUCUUAGAUGCCACAGGAGAAGAGGCAAAUUCAAAUGCUGAGAACCCCAAGCUGAUAUCAGCAAUGCUGUGUGCUGCUUUGUAUCCAAAUGUAGUGCAGGUGAAAAGCCCAGAAGGAAAAUUUCAGAAGACCAGUACUGGAGCUGUCAGAAUGCAACCAAAAUCAGCUGAGUUGAAGUUUGUCACCAAGAACGAUGGAUAUGUACACAUUCACCCUUCAUCAGUGAACUAUCAGGUGAGACACUUUGACAGCCCCUACCUGUUGUACCACGAGAAGAUAAAAACUAGUCGAGUAUUCAUCCGAGACUGCAGCAUGGUGUCUGUGUACCCGCUGGUCUUGUUUGGAGGAGGCCAAGUGAAUGUGCAGCUUCAAAGAGGAGAGUUCGUUGUCUCCCUGGAUGAUGGUUGGAUCCGUUUUGUAGCUGCUUCCCAUCAGGUGGCUGAACUGGUAAAGGAGCUUCGUUGCGAACUUGAUCAGCUUCUCCAGGAUAAAAUUAAAAACCCAAGCAUUGAUCUGUGUACGUGUCCUCGAGGAUCCCGGAUCAUCAGCACAAUUGUGAAACUUGUCACCACACAAUAAAAAGCAGUCUUAGAGAGUGCUUGCUACUCACCUGCUUCUAGCUCACCUGGGAAAUAACAGCAGAACCUCUACCUCGAACUAAAGACCUGUUGGGGCUGGCCCUGGUGGAGGAGCCCAGGGCAUGCAGCCCAAGGCAGCUGAGGCAGUGUAUAUACCCUUAGGGCCAUUUCUAACAAAGCCUUGGCCACUCCCAGCACAAUUUGGAGUGUCAAGGGUGAGAGCCUAAAACCCAGCUUGCCUGUCUUUGUCUCUGUGAUUGUUCUGGAGUGAAUUAAGUUCACCUGAUAACUCAAAAGUGAAUGUAUAAUACAAUUCUGUUUUAAUCUGUGUA
This 5519-nucleotide small RNA is filed under the name Pan troglodytes (chimpanzee). Its description in RNAcentral is "retained intron". Lineage: Eukaryota; Metazoa; Chordata; Mammalia; Primates; Hominidae. The record is from RNAcentral.